This 360-nucleotide long non-coding RNA is filed under the name Sparus aurata (gilthead seabream). RNAcentral describes it as "lncRNA (ENSSAUG00010008603.1)". Lineage: Eukaryota; Metazoa; Chordata; Actinopteri; Spariformes; Sparidae. The record is from RNAcentral.
UCAAACUAUGACACAGAGCUGUUUGCACCGCUGCUGCACGCCAUCCACCAGGGGCCAAAGGUGAGGUCGUACAGCAGCAGGAUGGGAACAGCGGAUGAGCACUUUAUCAGUCUGCAUCGCUGAUGGAGUCCAUCCAGGCAUGUCUGGAGCAGAGGGAGUAACAGCCAAUCAGCUGUCAGACCUGUUGGAUAGGUCAUGACCUCACAGGGACAGGCAGUGACCUCAGAGCAGAGCCUCGUGGCCUGGUCUCUGCUCAGGGACCUGGGUUUCCCUCUGGACCUGGUGGACCUGAUGCUGGAAGAGAGAGGAGUCCAGAUGGACUGCCAGGAGCUGGAUCGCCUGAUCGCAGAGAACCCGAGG